CUCAGGAUGAACGCUAGCUACAGGCUUAACACAUGCAAGUCGAGGGGAAACGACAUUGGAAGCUUGCUUCCGAUGGCGUCGACCGGCGCACGGGUGAGUAACGCGUAUCCAACCUGCCCACCACUUGGGGAUAACCUUGCGAAAGUAAGACUAAUACCCGAUGAUAUCCCUAGAAGACAUCUGAAAGGGAUUAAAGAUUUAUCGGUGAUGGAUGGGGAUGCGUCUGAUUAGCUUGUUGGCGGGGUAACGGCCCACCAAGGCGACGAUCAGUAGGGGUUCUGAGAGGAAGGUCCCCCACAUUGGAACUGAGACACGGUCCAAACUCCUACGGGAGGCAGCAGUGAGGAAUAUUGGUCAAUGGACGCAAGUCUGAACCAGCCAAGUAGCGUGCAGGAUGACGGCCCUAUGGGUUGUAAACUGCUUUUAUGCGGGGAUAAAGUUAGGGAUGUAUCCCUUUUUGCAGGUACCGCAUGAAUAAGGACCGGCUAAUUCCGUG
RNAcentral lists this ribosomal RNA (496 nucleotides) under uncultured bacterium. RNAcentral describes it as "bacterial SSU rRNA". It matches the Rfam family "Bacterial small subunit ribosomal RNA", at positions 23 to 507 of the family's 1533-position model. The record is from RNAcentral.